GUGAGGGAAUGGGUGACUAGUGGCAGAGUGAGGGAGGGAAGGGGUGACUAGUGACAGAGUGAGGGGAUGACUGGUGACAGAGUGAGGGGGGGGGGUGACUGUCACUAGUCACCCCAUCCCUCUCUCUGUCACUAGUUACUCCCUCCCUAACUCUGUCACUGUGUCACCCGCUCCCUCACUCUGUCACUAGUCACCCCCUUACUCUGUCACUGUGUUACCCCUCCCUCUGUCACUAGUCACCCCCUCCCUCAC
This 252-nucleotide small RNA is filed under the name Pelobates cultripes (western spadefoot toad). The record is from RNAcentral. Lineage: Eukaryota; Metazoa; Chordata; Amphibia; Anura; Pelobatidae.